UGUUGAGGAAGAUAAUGACGGUACUCAACAAGGAAGUGACGGCUAACUACGUGCCAGCAGCCGCGGUAAAACGUAGGUCACAAGCGUUGUCCGGAAUUACUGGGUGUAAAGGGAGCGCAGGCGGGAGAACAAGUUGGAAGUGAAAUCCAUGGGCUCAACCCAUGAACUGCUUUCAAAACUGUUUUUCUUGAGUAGUGCAGAGGUAGGCGGAAUUCCCGGUGUAGCGGUGGAAUGCGUAGAUAUCGGGAGGAACACCAGUGGCGAAGGCGGCCUACUGGGCACCAACUGACGCUGAGGCUCGAAAGUGUGGGUAGCAAACAGGAUUAGAUACCCUGGUAGUCCACACCGUAAACGAUGAUUACUAGGUGUUGGAGGAUUGACCCCUUCAGUGCCGCAGUUAACACAAUAAGUAAUCCACCUGGGGAGUACGACCGCAAGGUUGAAACUCAAAGGAAUUGACGGGGGCCCGCACAAGCAGUGGAGUAUGUGGUUUAAUUCGACGCAACGCGAAGAACCUUACCAAGUCUUGACAUCCCUUGACGAUGCUGGAAACAGUAUUUCUCUUCGGAGCAAGGAGACAGGUGGUGCAUGGUUGUCGUCAGCUCGUGUCGUGAGAUGUUGGGUUAAGUCCCGCAACGAGCGCAACCCUUAUGGUCAGUUACUACGCAAGAGGACUCUGGCCGGACUGCCGUUGACAAAA
This 700-nucleotide ribosomal RNA is filed under the name Faecalibacterium prausnitzii. RNAcentral describes it as "bacterial SSU rRNA". It matches the Rfam family "Bacterial small subunit ribosomal RNA", at positions 437 to 1163 of the family's 1533-position model. The record is from RNAcentral. Lineage: Bacteria; Bacillati; Bacillota; Clostridia; Eubacteriales; Oscillospiraceae.